Molecule: microRNA precursor, 154 nt
Filed under: Paramuricea clavata
Lineage: Eukaryota; Metazoa; Cnidaria; Anthozoa; Malacalcyonacea; Plexauridae
Source: RNAcentral
AUUAUCAGACUUGUCACAAGGUUGUUCUAACAAGUCUAAUACAGUCAUGAUAUAACAAGAAUGGUACAAGGUUGGCGACACAAGGUUGUAACAAUACUGCUAUAUCAUGACUGUAUCGGACUUGUUGGAACAGCCUUGUAACAAGCCUGAUAAU